Molecule: long non-coding RNA, 1497 nt
Filed under: Sparus aurata (gilthead seabream)
Lineage: Eukaryota; Metazoa; Chordata; Actinopteri; Spariformes; Sparidae
Description: lncRNA (ENSSAUG00010019148.1)
Source: RNAcentral
UAGAAAAUAUUUAUGAGAUAGAAUAAAUAGAUGGAGAAGAAAUAAAAGUGUUUUUUUUGACUGCAUGUGCAUGUUGUUUGGUUUUAGGAUGGUAUUCCCUGUUCCAGUCAACCAGCUGCCGUACGAGUGCAUGUUGACAUUCCACCUCAAGGGCGCCAAGCGGGGCAAGAACCCCGAGCUCUUAGGCUUGGCUGUACUACCUCUUUACAGCGACAGAACUCUGGUGAUGGAGACCGUUCUGCUCAGUAUGUCCACGCUGGCUGAGCCCCCAGCUCCUCCCUCUCCCGCCCUGUUUGACAGCCACAGACAAGCCGUUGGCGUCAUACUGCAGGUCAGUAUCACUGGGCAGCUCUGCCCCCUGUUGACCUAAACACAAACUACACCACAUCGCCUGCUCAAAGAUUCAUCUUCCCAUAAUCCUCCAGCUCGAGUUUCAAGAUCAGUUUGUGUGGAAGUAUCAGAGGCCUAUCGCCCUCCCUGGUUCAGCGUUGUUUACUCAGCCUUGUGAGGCACUGCAAAAGAAAAUGUUGAGCGCCUCUAAGAAGCACUGCCUCUGCUUGUGAGUAGAAGAAAACGACACACAUUAUAGAGAUCUGUAAUCCCUCCCUGUCCCUUAACACACCCUUGAAAUGAGCUCUACCCCCCCCCCCCCCCCCUCAGUCUGACAGAAAAUGAGAAAGCCUUCCUCUGGAGUAAACGUUACUGUAGUGACAAAGGAAGCACUUUCCUCCACCUGCUGCUGGGUGGAGCCCCCCGGUGGCAGCCUGAAGACCUGACAGAAAUCUAUACUGUUGUGGAGAACUGGCUGAUUCAUCUACCCGAGGAGGCGCUCUUCCUGCUCAGUCCCAAGUGGGUAACAUGUGUUGCUUGUUUGGAAAAGUGUUUUGGUUCCUAGUUCCUAUGUCCUGUUUUUGAAAAGGAGUAAUAUGUCGGCGUAAAAAAAAUGCUCGAUUAAGAUAAAAGUCCUGCAUUUAAAAUAUGAUUUAUGUAGAUAAGUCUUUGAAUGAAAAUAUACUUAUGCUGAAAAAUGACCGUCUGAUCCGAUAAAGGGCCAUGCUUGUGAUGAAUGUAGUUUUGUAGGCGAGCAGACUGGUACCCCAAAAUCUGUGAUCACAACCAUGAUUCAGGUUUACAGUAGUCUGUUUGGUGACAUUGAACAUAUUUUUUCAGUUUCCAUGAUCAGACCGUGCGAAGGGCUGCGGUUCACUACUUUGAGCAGAUACCAGAUGGAGAGCUGGAGUUGUUUCUGCCACAGUUGGUCCAGGUAAGCACACUCAAGUGUUAAACACACCUAUGAAAUAAGGUGACUGUACACUCUGUAUUUUCCUCAUUGGUCUGAUGUUGGUUUCAUCAGUCAUCCUCUCCUACAGGCUCUGAAGAGCGAGUGGGAGUUGGAUGGACCUCUGGUGAUGCUGCUGCUGGAGAGAUCACUGAAGAGCAUGCAGAUUGCCCAGCAGCUCUACUGGUGAGCCAAAGAUUCAGACAUCAGACUGAGGG